ACGCACCUUUCGGGGUGAGUGGCGGACGGGUGAGUAACGCGUGAGAAUCUGCCUUUUGGUCGGGGACAACCACUGGAAACGGUGGCUAAUACCGGAUGUGCCUACGGGUAAAAGAUUUAUUGCCAGAAGAAGAGCUCGCGUCUGAUUAGCUAGUUGGUAGGGUAAAAGCCUACCAAGGCAUCGAUCAGUAGCUGGUCUGAGAGGAUGACCAGCCACACUGGGACUGAGACACGGCCCAGACUCCUACGGGAGGCAGCAGUGGGGAAUUUUCCGCAAUGGGCGAAAGCCUGACGGAGCAAGACCGCGUGAGGGAGGAAGGCUCUUGGGUUGUAAACCUCUUUUGUCAGGGAAGAAGAAAGUGACGGUACCUGACGAAUCAGCAUCGGCUAACUCCGUGCCAGCAGCCGCGGUAAUACGGAGGAUGCAAGCGUUAUCCGGAAUUAUUGGGCGUAAAGCGUCCGCAGGUGGCACUUCAAGUCUGUCGUCAAAGACCGGGGCUUAACCCUGGAAAGGCGAUGGAAACUGAAAGGCUAGAGAGAGGUAGGGGUAGAGGGAAUUCCCAGUGUAGCGGUGAAAUGCGUAGAGAUUGGGAAGAACAUCGGUGGCGAAAGCGCUCUACUGGACCUCAUCUGACACUCAGGGACGAAAGCUAGGGGAGCGAAUGGGAU
Molecule: ribosomal RNA, 668 nt
Filed under: uncultured cyanobacterium
Lineage: Bacteria; Bacillati; Cyanobacteriota
Description: bacterial SSU rRNA
Rfam family: Bacterial small subunit ribosomal RNA
Source: RNAcentral